GCAAACUUGGUCAUUUAGAGGAAGUAAAAGUCGUAACAAGGUUUCCGUAGGUGAACCUGCGGAAGGAUCAUUAAAGAAUUUAUAGAGUGCACUUCAUUGUGGCUCGACAUUUUCUACCAUUCACCCUAGUGCACUGUAACACCCUUUUUAUUAGACUCUACAAAGUUAUUGAAUGUAACACUUUUUUAUAAAGAAAUAAAACUUUUAACAACGGAUCUCUUGGCUCUCGCAUCGAUGAAGAACGCAGC
RNAcentral lists this unclassified non-coding RNA (248 nucleotides) under uncultured fungus. RNAcentral's name for it is "partial contains small subunit ribosomal RNA, internal transcribed spacer 1, and 5.8S ribosomal RNA". The stretch from base 1 to 73 matches the Rfam family "Eukaryotic small subunit ribosomal RNA", at positions 1759 to 1831 of the family's 1831-position model. The record is from RNAcentral. Lineage: Eukaryota; Fungi.